AUGAACGCUAGCUACAGGGCUUAACACAUGCAAGUCGAGGGGCAGCGGGAAGUCAGCUUGCUGACUUGCCGGCGACCGGCGCACGGGUGAGUAACGCGUAUCCAACCUUCCCCUUAGUAGGGCAUAGCCCGUAGAAAUGCGGAUUAAUACCCUAUGUUGUUCGAUGCGGACAUCUAAGUUGAACCAAAGGUUUACCGCUAAGGGAUGGGGAUGCGUCCGAUUAGGCAGCAGGCGGGGUAACGGCCCACCUGGGCCGACGAUCGGUAGGGGUUCUGAGAGGAAGGUCCCCCCACAUUGGAACUGAGACACGGUCCAAACUCCUACGGGAGGCAGCAGUGAGGAAUAUUGGUCAAUGGGGCGAGAGCCUGAACCAGCCAAGUAGCGUGCAGGAUGACGGCCCUAUGGGUUGUAAACUGCUUUUAUGCGGGGAUAAAGUGAGGGACGUGUCCCUUAUUGUAGGUACCGCAUGAAUAAGGACCGGCUAAUUCCGUGCCAGCAGCCGC
This 503-nucleotide ribosomal RNA is filed under the name uncultured bacterium. Its description in RNAcentral is "bacterial SSU rRNA". It matches the Rfam family "Bacterial small subunit ribosomal RNA", at positions 29 to 518 of the family's 1533-position model. The record is from RNAcentral.